RNAcentral lists this ribosomal RNA (580 nucleotides) under fungal sp. ASR-221. Its description in RNAcentral is "eukaryotic LSU rRNA". The stretch from base 240 to 393 matches the Rfam family "5.8S ribosomal RNA". The record is from RNAcentral. Lineage: Eukaryota; Fungi.
AUAAGGCCCCCGCGGCGGGGCAACCCCGCCCUCGUUCCCUAAUGACCCUUCCCGUUAGGUGAACCUGCGGAAGGAUCAUUACAAGAAACGAGGCCGCGUGCGCUCGCCCGCCCGGCCCCGCUCCUUACCUUGCCUACUGCACCGUUUGUUGCUUCCUGGCGGCGGACUGCCCGCCGCCAGGGACGUUGAUACAAUCCUGUAUAGAAGCAUUGAAGCUCUGAGAAAACGCGAAAUCGUACAACUUUCAACAAUGGAUCUCUUGGUUCUGGCAUCGAUGAAGAACGCAGCGAAAUGCGAUAAGUAGUGUGAAUUGCAGAAUUCAGUGAAUCAUCGAAUCUUUGAACGCACAUUGCGCCCCUUGGCAUUCCAUGGGGCAUGCCUGUUCGAGCGUCAUCUAAACCCUCAAGCCCCCGGCUUGGUGUUGGGUGCCUGUCCCCGCUCCCCGCGCGGACUCACCCCAAAUGCAUUGGCAGCCGCCUCUCGGCUUCUUGCGCAGCACAGUGCGCAGCGAGGCGAGGUGAGGCGUGCGUCCAGCAAGCAACCACCCAAGUUGACCUCGAUCAGUAGGAACCCGCUGAUA